This 208-nucleotide long non-coding RNA is filed under the name Nicotiana benthamiana. Its description in RNAcentral is "long non-coding RNA (NBEN_LNC041804)". Lineage: Eukaryota; Viridiplantae; Streptophyta; Magnoliopsida; Solanales; Solanaceae. The record is from RNAcentral.
AUAGCUCAAUUAAACCCAUCUCUACGUUCUUCUUAAAAACAAGAGUUAACCAAGCAGAUCAUCUUCAACCUUGGAACGGAUACACAAGACCAGAGGACCCUUCACCUUAAUCACCUUUAGAGCGCCGCUGGCCAGUCUUCCACCAAGGAGCAACAGAGCUCACCAUCAGCCAUUCUCAAAAAACUUCAGCAGCCUAACGACCCCCCCC